UUCUGUUUUGCUGCUGGCCACUUAUUUACUCAUUUUUACUUUUGUUUGUGUCUUAGUUAGGGUUUCUAUUCCUAUAAAGAAACACCAUGACCAUGGCAACUCUUAUAACAGAAAACAUUUAAUGGGGUGGCUUACAGUUUCAUAAUCGUCAUGGUGGGACAUGGUGGCAUGCAGGCAGACAUAGUACUGGAGCUGAGCGUCCUACAUUCUUGAUCCAAAGGCAACAGGAAGUAAAUUGACUUACUAGGCAUGGCUUGAGCAUAUAUGAGACCUCAAAGCCUGCCUCAACAGUGACACAGUACCUCCAAGGCCAUACCUACUCCAACAAAGCCACAUCUCUUUAAUAGUGCCACUCCCUUUGGGGGCUAUUUUCUUUUAAACCACCAGUUUGUUUUAUUGUUUUGUUUUUUUAUGACAGGGUCUCAUGUAGCCCAGUGAAGGAAGCCCUGAGUGUGUGAUGUGCGAAGUGGGUACACGCUAUUGACUUGAGACAGCCAUUCAAGGACAAAGCCUCAGACCCAUGGGAAAUUGGCAAAGCCUCACUGUCCCCAUCCCCUCAAUAAGGCUCAGAGCAGUGGCAAUGCCAUCCUCUGUUCCUGUAUGAAUGUUGACAGUGUGUGCAGAAAAUGUCCACCAUAGCUUUCUCUACCCGGAUGUUUAUGGCCUGGAGACAGCUCCCCUACAGAGACUACUCCCACGGAGAAUAACUAAACCUGCCUCCUUGUUCAUCUGUGUAUAACAACCCCACUUCCUUGUUCAGCUAUAUAGAAUAACAUCGCCUCUGUCCACCCCUAUGUAAUAAACACACGAGAGCCCAGUCCACCCUAUUCUAGCUUUCCUGUACAUAUGUCUGUCAUUUCUUCACUCCCUUGUUGCCCCAGUCAGAGUUCUAGGAUCCAAGCUGUGUCAACCCACAGGCUGGCCUCAAACUCACUAAUGCAGCUGAGGAUGACUUAUUUUUAUUAUCAGCUCGACACAAGCUGGUGUCAUCUGGGAAGAGGGAGCCUCAAGUGGCAAAAUACUUUCAUCAGACUGGCCUGUGGAUAAGUCCGUGGGAGCAUUUUCUUGAUUAAUGACUGAUGUGGGAGGGACCACCUCUGGGCAGGUGGGUCCUGGGUUAUAAAAGAAAGCAGGCUGAGCAAGCCCUGGGAAGCCAACCAGUACGUUCUCUGUUUCAGUUCCUGCACCCAGGUUCCAGUCCCGACUCCCCUAGGUGAUGGACUGUGCUGUGGAAGUGUAAGAUGAAAUAAACCCUUCCUACCCAAGUGGCUUUUGGUCAUGGUGUUUAUGGCAGCAAUAUAAAGCAAACUAGAGGAAUGUGCAAGGCCCCUUGCCAAUGCCACGCACAAGCCGAUGCCACGCACAAGCCGAUGCCAUGCACGAGCCAAUGCCACGCAUGGUAUUUCCCUUGCACACCCCUCACUGUAACACUAGCAGGUAGAGCACAAGUUAGCAUCUCCAUCUAGGAUGGAAUUAACAACUGAAGUCGGAGCACGGGACACAGAAAUAAGCCGGUAAGAAAACAAAACACAGAAAGUACCUGUAGUGAGCAGCCAAUCGACAGCAGAACCAGGAUUUGCUCCUGGAGUCUGCAGCCUUUACGACAUGCUGCUGCUCUCAUACGCUGAUCUUUAACUCACAGACACAAACUUCAUUUUCAAGGUCCUAGAGAACUGCCAUGUAUUUACCAUCCCCACCACAAACCAGCUACAGCAUAAGUAAAAGAUGCCAUGCAAGUAUCCCAGUUUUUCCACUCUAUGUUCAACACCAUCUUCAGCUAGUGCCACACUUCACAGAUAAAUCGUUUUAUUUUUGCAAUGCUAAGGACUGAACUCAGGGCCCUGAGCAUGCUAGGUAAGUAUGCAGCUGGACUCAUUCUUCCUCACUGCCUUUCUUCCCAGAGGUCCCGGGUACCCAGGGCUUGCUCCUGCCCGGGCCGUACCUAUAAAGGCUGCCAGAGAGCAGGCCCUUGGGCCUCGUCACUGCUCCCCACUGUGGGAUAGUUCCUUUGAAGGUAGAGGACAAAGGUUUAUCUUUUUUUUUUUUUGAGCUGAGGAUCGAACCCAGGGCCUUGCGCUUGCUAGGCAAGCACUCUACCACUGAGCUAAAUCCCCAAGCCCAGGUUUAUCUUCUUACAUGACCCCACAAACAACUUCCCCAAACCCAGUGUCUGGAGCCCAUUCCUCCCCGCCACCUACGGGAACCGCAGCCUGCUAGGGGAAGAAUGUGGGAAAGCGGAAGUGCAGGAAAGGCCACGCUUACGUCACAUCUCUGGCAACUCUUUCAAUGACUCUCAUUUCCUUUGCCAGCGAUGUGUCCGUGGUGACACAAGGAGGGACAAAAAGCCCAGCAGUCCCUGAAGUCCCUUACCGUGAGAUGUCACAGGGUAUCAUAAAGGAAAUAAUUGCACAGAUCGAAAACUCCAAGAGAAGUGUCAGAGGAAAAUGAAAGCUGAUGGGAACUGAUCAGUAUUCUUCGAGGGUGAGGAAGACAGGUCUCAGAGCCAUCCAGGGAAAGAUCUGAACUAUGAGCAGAAGCUAAUUAGGCAAAAAGAGGAGGAGUUGGUAUGCCAGGCCCAGGGGGCAGAAUAAUACAAGCCUUGUCAGCAGGGAAGGAGGCCCUGGACACACGACACUGUGGAAGAGAGUAGAGUACAGUAUGUGCAGAUUUUUUUUUUCAACACUGGGGAUUAACUGGAGCCUUGUGCAUGCUAGGCAAACACUCUACCACUGAGCUGCAUCCUCAACCCCUAUUUUUUUUAAAUGUGUUUAUGAGAGUUGGGUGUAUCGAAAGAAUGUGUACCACGUGUGUGCAGUACCAGAGAGGACCAGCAGAGGGUGCCAGAACCCCUAGAACCGGAGUUACAGACGUUUGUGAGUUACCAUGUGGGUGCUGGGAACUGAACUCAGGGGCUUCUGCAAGUGUUCUUAACUUCCAAGCCAUCUCUCCAGUUCCCAGAUUUUUUUUGUUUUAAAGAUUUAUUUUACCUUUUUUCUUUUUUUUUUUUUUAAAUUUUGAGACAGGGUUUCUCUGUCUAACAGCUCUGGCUGUCCUAGAACACAACACACUAUGUAGACCAGGUUGGCCUUGAACUCAGAGAUCCACCUGCCUCUGCCUCCCGAGUGCUGGGAUUAAAGGUAUGCGUCACCACAGCCUGGACUUUUUAUUUUUAAUUAUGUGUGUGGGUAUGGGCAUGUGAAUACGGUGCCUGGGGAGGACGCAGAUGUUAGAUCCCCUGGGACUGGAGUUGCAGACAGUUGGGAGCUCCCCCUCAGACAGCUUGUGUGUCACACACUCUAGCUGCUCUGGAGAGAAUGAGUGGCUUGGGAGGUAGGAGAGUGGCAGGGGAGACUGACAGCUUGUGGGUGAGUGAUGAUGACAGGGUGGGAUGGGCAGGGAGAAUGAGAAACAGAACUCAGCGAACACAUUCAUAAAAAGUAUAAGCUAGGGCUAAAACUGAGAGGCCUGGGCCGGAGACGACUCAGAGGCUGAGAGCAUGGCCAGCUUCUCCAGAGGACCCGCAUUCAGCUCCCAGGGCCACAUCAGGUGUCCCACAAUCACCUUUAACUCCAACUCCAAGGGAUCUAACACCUUUGUCUGGCCUCUGACGGCAUCCCCACACAUGUGGCACACACACACACACAUAUAAACACAAAUAAUAAAAAUAAACCUUGGGCCAGGCAUGGUGGUGGACACCCUUAAUUCCAGCACUUGGGAGGCAGAGACAACCUGGUCUACAGAGCGAGUUCCAGAACAGUCAGGGCUACAUAAGGAGACCAAGUCUCAAAACUAAUUAAAUCUAAAAAAGGAAGAGAGAAAGAAAGAAAGAAAAGUUAAUACCUUAAAAAAAAAAAAAAGACAAAGCUGACGGGCUGGGUCGUGAAGAACGAGGCAGAGUUAUCAAAGACUCUCCACUGGUGACUUAGGCGGGUGAUGGAGCGUGCCGUCCAUCUGUUGGGGAAUAUUAUUUUAAGGGGUGUUACUUUUGUUGAUGUUGCAUUUGUUUAACUCUGUGAAGCUGUGUUACUGUGCCUGUCUAGAACACCUGAUGGUCUAUAAAGAGCCGAACGGCCAAUAGCGAGGUUGGAGAAUGGGUGGGACUGGCAGGCUAAAGAAUUAACAGAAGGAGAGAUCUGGGAGAGGAGAGAUCUGGGAACAAGAGGAGGAGGAGGACAUCAGGGGCCAGCCACCCAGCUACACAACCAGUGGGAAAAGGGUCCUUUUGGGAAGCAGAAAGACCUAAAUUCAAAUGUCAGUCACCUAUGAGCUACAAAGGGUUAUUCACCCCUGUAACACCAGGAAGAUCAGUCAUUCAGUCAGUCAUCUUUAGCUACCUAGAAGGUGCCAGGCCUGCUGGGCAUGGUGCUGCAUGCCUUUAAUCCCAACACUCUGGUGGCAGAAGACCCAUGUCUGUGAGUUCAAGGCUAGCUUGAUCCACACAUAGUGAAUUUCAGGCCAGCCAGAGCUACAUAGUGAGACCCUCAAAUUAAAAAAAAAAAAAAAGUUUCAGGCCAACCUGAGCUAUAUGAGGCCUGUCUAAAAAAUUUAAGUAGUUAAUUUUAAAAGUGGGAUGUGUAGCUUAGUGGUAUGUGGAUGGGUAGCAUGUGUUUAGUAUAAAUGAGGUUCUGCGCACAUGUACACACACACACACACACACACACACACACACACACACACACACACACGUCAACUAUAUGACCUGAGGCAAGCUUUUCUUCCAGACCUUUCUGUUUGAGUGUAAAGUAGAGGUGACCGUGAGUGCUGAAUCAGAUGAGAAAGCUCUUAGUACAGCGUCUACAAAUGUCAACCCCUGUCCCUGUCCCCUCCACCUCUUCAAUGCUGCCUGGACAGUGGCAGCGGGCCUUCUCACGUCACAAAGAGCAGAGCAGGACAAGGCACACUGCUGGUCACAUACGGCCACAGCCCAGAGUCUCAUGGGGAAGAGGGAGGUCCAGGUGUCUGUCCUUCCUUCCUGUCAUGCAGGCUCCAGGCGGCAUCCAACAGCCGGCAUCCAACAGCCAGCUUCGGUGACCUGCCUGCUUGUUUCCUCGGAGAUAAACUGGAUAAACAAUCUCUCUGGAGAUGGCACAGCCAGCACCCACAGUGAACAGCAGGGGGCGGAGUUGCUCUACAACCUGCCACCCUGGGGCCCACAGCAGCGAGAGGUGACUGCAAGGACUCUUGCACUUGGGAGGGCUAGACGACUUCAAGGUUAUCCGAACUAGCAGUGUGUGUGCACAUUACAGAAGCAGAAGUGAGGCUAAAUGACGUGCCCAUGAUUCAGCAAUGUCAGGACACCAGAGCAGAAGCCUGGGUUCAGAGCCCAGACAGGCGGCUAACUGGCCGUGCGACUUUAGCAGAGGGCACCAGAUCUCAUUAGAGAUGGUUGUGAGUCACCAUGUUGUUGCUGGGAAUUGAACUCAGGACCUCUGGAAGAGCAGCCAGUGCUCUCAACCUCUGAGGCAUCUCUCCAGCCCAUGCACCGGAAAACUGUGCAGGGGCCACACAGUACAGUGGUGAAGGAAGGAGAGCGGAAGUACUUACCGGAAGCAGGAGCUGUGCCAGGCCUCGCUGGUCGUCC
Long non-coding RNA from Peromyscus californicus insignis, 5581 nucleotides. RefSeq lists it as uncharacterized. The transcript has 3 exons. Lineage: Eukaryota; Metazoa; Chordata; Mammalia; Rodentia; Cricetidae. The record is from RefSeq and is a predicted model, not a curated record.